RNAcentral lists this ribosomal RNA (360 nucleotides) under uncultured Thermus sp. Its description in RNAcentral is "bacterial SSU rRNA". It matches the Rfam family "Bacterial small subunit ribosomal RNA", at positions 1022 to 1382 of the family's 1533-position model. The record is from RNAcentral. Lineage: Bacteria; Thermotogati; Deinococcota; Deinococci; Thermales; Thermaceae.
GGGAGCCCUAGCACAGGUGCUGCAUGGCCGUCGUCAGCUCGUGCCGUGAGGUGUUGGGUUAAGUCCCGCAACGAGCGCAACCCCCGCCGUUAGUUGCCAGCGGUUCGGCCGGGCACUCUAACGGGACUGCCCGCGAAAGCGGGAGGAAGGAGGGGACGACGUCUGGUCAGCAUGGCCCUUACGGCCUGGGCGACACACGUGCUACAAUGCCCACUACAAAGCGAUGCCACCCGGCAACGGGGAGCUAAUCGCAAAAAGGUGGGCCCAGUUCGGAUUGGGGUCUGCAACCCGACCCCAUGAAGCCGGAAUCGCUAGUAAUCGCGGAUCAGCCAUGCCGCGGUGAAUACGUUCCCGGGCCUU